GUAUACGAAGGNGCAAGCAUGUUCGNUUUACUGGCGUAAAGCGUAUGUANGUGGAUUUAUAGUCAGAUGUGAAAGCCCAAGGCUCAACCUUGGAAUUGCAUUUGNAACUAUGAAUCUAGGUGGUAAUAGAGGAUAACNGAACUCCGAGUGUAGAGGUGGAAUUCGUAGAUAUUCGGAAGAAACAUCAGUGGCGAAAGCGGUUAUCUGGAUUAUUUAUGACACUGAGAUACGAAAGCAUGGGGAGCAAACAGGAUUAGAUACCCUGGUAGUCCAUGCCGUAAACGAUGAGAGUUAAUUGUUAGAUUUUUUUUAAUUUAGUGAUUGAGUUAACGCAUUAAACUCUCCGCCUGGGAAGUACGAUCGCAAGAUUAAAACUUAAAGGAAUUGACGGGGACCCGCACAAGUAGUGGAGCAUGUUGUUUAAUUCG
RNAcentral lists this ribosomal RNA (428 nucleotides) under uncultured bacterium. Its description in RNAcentral is "bacterial SSU rRNA". It matches the Rfam family "Bacterial small subunit ribosomal RNA", at positions 521 to 953 of the family's 1533-position model. The record is from RNAcentral.